UGGUUCAGUUUGUAGAGCAUGGUGCUUCCAACACCAGGGUUGUGGGUUCGAUUCCCAC
Molecule: transfer RNA, 58 nt
Filed under: Salmo salar (Atlantic salmon)
Lineage: Eukaryota; Metazoa; Chordata; Actinopteri; Salmoniformes; Salmonidae
Rfam family: tRNA
About the family: Transfer RNA (tRNA) molecules are approximately 80 nucleotides in length. Their secondary structure includes four short double-helical elements and three loops (D, anti-codon, and T loops). Further hydrogen bonds mediate the characteristic L-shaped molecular structure. tRNAs have two regions of fundamental functional importance: the anti-codon, which is responsible for specific mRNA codon recognition, and the 3' end, to which the tRNAs corresponding amino acid is attached (by aminoacyl-tRNA synthetases). tRNAs cope with the degeneracy of the genetic code in two manners: having more than one tRNA (with a specific anti-codon) for a particular amino acid; and 'wobble' base-pairing, i.e. permitting non-standard base-pairing at the 3rd anti-codon position.
Source: Rfam by way of RNAcentral